UCUCCGUAGGUGAACCUGCGGAGGGAUCAUUACUGAGUGAGGGCCUCUGGCCCGACCUCCAACCCUUUGAUGUCCAACUCUGUUGCCUCGGGGGCGACCCGGCCUUCGGGCCCGGGGCCCCCCGUGGUCCACUCAACUCUGCAUCUUUGCGUCUGAGUAAACAUUAAAUGAAACAAAACUUUCAACAACGGAUCUCUUGGUUCUG
Molecule: unclassified non-coding RNA, 205 nt
Filed under: plant metagenome
Description: partial contains small subunit ribosomal RNA, internal transcribed spacer 1, and 5.8S ribosomal RNA
Source: RNAcentral